ACAAAAGGACAGUUAAAAAGAAAAGAUGGGUCUGGGACCACAUCAGUCUAGAGAGAACAGUGUGUUUAGCUGUCUUGGUGUCUCAUUUCUAGCAGCAUGCAUUCAGAGGAGUAAGGCAGGAUUAAGGGCAAAGUUUUUAAAAUGUACAUGGAUCUCUCAUUUAAAAUGCCUCAGUCUGAUGAUGUCAUGUCCCUGUAGCAAACUCCUUUAAAAACUGUUCUGUCCUGACCAGAACUUAUGUCGUGUUCAGAGUCAUGAAAAAGGUGGACAGCGGUGCUCGGAUUAAGUCUCGUGACGUUUCCUGUCGAGCUGGCUCCUUUCUGCCACUGUCAGAAUCAAAUUUGUACUUAAUCUCUCCCUUGUUUUCAGAUGACAAAAUCUCUCUGUUAGGUUUCAGAAAGCUGGGAUUACAAAAUGUUCUUAUGGCUUUAAGUCCUCUGUGGUGAUUGGGGAACUCGAGAAAGGAUUAGAUGAGAAAUUUUUUUCCAAGGGGUUGGGCGGGUUGGAGGGGACAGUCAGUGAACUGAAUAGGGGAUUCCUUUUCGGAUAUCUGCCUUUGGACCCAAAUGUUCGUCACUUAAGAGGAUUCCAAGAUUUUUAAAAUAAAAUGAAAAGGGAUGUGGAUUAUAAGAAUAUACAUGCAGAUGUCAACACUGAACUGUACAUUUGAAACUAGACCUCCUGCUGUGUAUAAAUUAUAACUCAAUACAAAGAAAAAUCAAGCAAGCAGGACAGACAGAGCAAAAAUAAUUAACACUGACAAGUAGAACCAACUACCAGACUGUCUUAGGGACAUGAAUUAUGAUUUUCAAAAUAGUGGGGACUGAAUUCCAUUGGAAGAGGCUCUGACGGUGAGGCCAGGGUUUUCACCAACUGAUUCCUAUGUAGGCCAUUAGCCAUCCAUGGUUUUGGGGGUGCAGUUUGUUUGUACCCCUCCUCCUAGCUAGCAAAUUCUUUAUUUACUUGUUCCCUUGUUUCAAGGGCAAAGGAGAUAAAAAGCAUAGAUGAGGGAAAUUCAUGGGGUCGCAAAGAGUCUGACACGACUGAGCAACUGAACUGAACUGAACAGAUGACUAGUCAGAGGUUACCAUUUUCUUUUAAGGACAGCCUAUCUGAUCUCCAAGUAUUAAAUAUAUCAUCACCAUCAUUCUUAUUCAGAGCAUUCCUCUUUGUCUUCCCCUAACCCAAAGCAGUUCUCAGCCUCUCUGAGAUCUUGACUGGAUACAGGAAGUGAUCUCACCCCCCACCCUCGCCCUGACAUGUGUUAUUCCUUUAAUUCGAUUGCCACACACCCCUGGCAACCCCUACACUGCGUAGACACAUACACUCCAUAUACAACACACCGGAAAUCACCAUUACAUCCACACAGUUUCCAUCAGCUGAAACGCAACCCAUGUUGAGACGACCUAAGGACAUUCCAACCAUGCUGGCCUCCUUUAUUAUUAUCUAUCUCCCCCACUCGACUGUGUGUUCCAUGAAAGCAGAGACAGGCUUUUAUUCACUACUGGAGAUCCAGCAUCUAGCAAGGUGACCGACACAUAAUAGCACAGUAGGUGUUCACCUGACGUUGAGUGAACGAGUCACAAAUUGAAAGCAGCAAAACAUUUGUUGUUUUUAGAGAAAUUAGUUCCCUCUGUUUGGACUCAGUGGUGGGGAAAUGGAACUGAAGAAGAUUCCACGUGGUUUGCUUUGUUUUCCCCCAUCAGACAGAUCGUGUCUACCCUCUGUAUGUGCAGCCCGGAUCCUGAGUGACCAGCCAGCGUAAAGGUACAUGUGACCUUUUAAGGACCAGGCAUGUUUUUGCCACAGGCAGGAGGGUUCUAUGUUUUAAUUGCCUGGAGGUUCCAUCCAAAAUUCGAGCCAGCCAACAGUGCGGUCUGUGAGCAGGGCGGUUACAUCUGCGGCACUUGGAGUUGAGCCUGGCUCGGCACCCGAGCAGACCUCCUGGUUCUGCACGGUUGAAAACAAAGUAGCAAUGGCCACUCACAGUGCUGCAUGGAAAGGUAGAGCUCGCUUAUGCGAUCACCUAAAAUAACAGCCUCUCAACAGACUUAAAAAUUAGCAGAAGGAUGUGAGGCACUUGGAAGCACAAAGGUAGAACUGUUUAUCAAUUGAUAUGGAAGUAUUUCAAUAUUUUCACAACUGGAGCAUAUCAGCUCAUUUCCGGUCCUAAGUAUUAAUAUCAGUAGAACUGCACCCACCACAGGUUGCUUGAGAAGCCUUUGUUCCCUUUUAGAUGAGUUACAUAGGCAGCAUCUUUGCCUGGACAUCUAAACACUGUGGUUUCGAUGACAGGGCCUUGCUGGGAAGCUCCUUCCCUUAUGGAGUGCUGAGAUAAUUUUCCUUAAGCAAAGAUGACAUCACUGACCUGAAGGCGGAUCCAGGCAACUGCCCUAUCUGGGGAACAAUCAUUCCUGCAGUAUUUCCAAUUAAUCUUGGAAUGAGAGCCCCAGGCAAGAAGCCAGCGGUGCCUGAGGAAUGCUAAAGAGCAGACUGAGCCAGGGAAACAAAUGCCAGCGAGGGACCCCACAGCAAAGAGACAGACACCGUGAGCAACUCUCCCGUUACCAUGAGGCUCGCGAGGCGUGUGUGCGGGUCUCCGCGUUGGCACCAUCUGCCAAUUCCUCAGGAGGACAGAACAAACCAGCGAGGCAUGAAGAUUAGAUUAUGUAAUGCUUGAGGAUUGCUGUUUUCAAAGAGGAAACAAAUGGAACGAAUUGAUUUGCUUGUCAGAGUCAUGUCAGUAAAGGAGACCCAUUCCCUCCUCUUCUAAGAGGACUUCAUUAAAGAGGGGGAUGAUUUCACAGAAUCAGAAAAUGUGAGACCACGAUGGACUCCAUUCACAAGAGCAAGUCCAAUUUCCGGAACUGCACUGACAAACCCGCUUCUGGUCCUCUGGCCUGAAAAAUGACUAUUCAGCCACUGCCUAAAAGGUGUAUACCCAGGCACUCCGAGAUCUGAGAUGAGGGGAGAACACGACAGUGUCCAGUGUCCCAGGGGGAGAAUAACGUGCCUCCCGCUUGGCGCCUUGGACUCGUCUGGCUUCCGGCCCCAUGGCUUGGGGAUGCUGUGCCUGCGCGAGAGGAUGAUUUAUCGUGUUAUCUCUCCACCCUCGGCUAGUUGUUGCAGCUGCACAUUUCAGCCUGGUCAGACUGAAAACAGGAGUUAGUGUUGGAAUGGGAGAGAGAUUCAGAAGGUCACUGAGGUGGGCUUGGGCUGUAGUGAGCAUCACCCAGUGACAGGCAUUGGACUAAAUGACCCCAAGGACUUUGUGCAGUAGGGACCAAUGUGUCCAUUUUACAGAUAGAGAAAAUGAGGCUCCUGUGGCUUGGGGGACUUGUCCACAGCCACCGGUAAUGACAGUCCUGGGAUUUGAACCCAAGUUUCUCUAGAUCCCCAACACCCAAGCUCUCUUAGGCCCUUGUUCCUCCUUCAAAAGUAAAGCUUGUUUUCCUGAAGUGUGGUCAUCACUGAA
Molecule: long non-coding RNA, 3475 nt
Organism: Bubalus bubalis (water buffalo)
Lineage: Eukaryota; Metazoa; Chordata; Mammalia; Artiodactyla; Bovidae
Exons: 3
Source: RefSeq, a predicted model, not a curated record